This 460-nucleotide ribosomal RNA is filed under the name uncultured bacterium. RNAcentral's name for it is "partial 16S ribosomal RNA". It matches the Rfam family "Bacterial small subunit ribosomal RNA", at positions 338 to 795 of the family's 1533-position model. The record is from RNAcentral.
CCUACGUGAGGCAGCAGUGAGGAAUAUUGGUCAAUGGGCGCGAGCCUGAACCAGCCAAGUAGCGUGAAGGAUGACUGCCCUACGGGUUGUAAACUUCUUUUAUAAAGGAAUAAAGUGAGGCACGUGUGCCUUUUUGUAUGUACUUUAUGAAUAAGGAUCGGCUAACUCCGUGCCAGCAGCCGAGGUAAUACGGAGGAUCCGAGCGUUAUCCGGAUUUAUUGGGUUUAAAGGGAGCGUAGAUGGGUUGUUAAGUCAGUUGUGAAAGUUUGCGGCUCAACCGUAAAAUUGCAAUUGAUACUGGCAGUCUUGAGUACAGUUGAGGUAGGCGGAAUUCGUGGUGUAGCGGUGAAAUGCUUAGAUAUCACGAAGAACUCCGAUUGCGAAGGCAGCUUACUAAACUGCCACUGACAUUGAUGCUCGAAAGUGUGGGUAUCAAACAGGAGUAGAUACCCCUGUAGUC